GGAGAAUAGUGAGAGAAUGAGAACUGUGGUGACAACUGUUGUGGUGGAUGUGGCCAUUGUUGUGGAUUUGAGAUGAAUGCGUUCGCAGUAGGAAGUGAGUGAGCAGAGUUGUAAAAUAGUAGUGAUGACUUGCUUUUGGCAGGAGGUGGCAGGUACCUGAUAGAAUAUGCCAAGGCAAGCAGGGUUCAACACCACCCACAUUAAUCGUCCACGACGACAUCAGUUGUGACUGGUUUUUGGAAGAAGAGUUUCAACAGGAAACUGGUAAUGCACAAGCCAUGUGUAUUUCACCAAAUUUUUAAUUUAAGAUUGUGCAUUCUCAUCAGAAAUUGGCUACUUUGGGAAGGGUAAAACACAGAAUACAAGUUCAAUCUUCUACAUG
Molecule: long non-coding RNA, 382 nt
Organism: Solanum pennellii
Lineage: Eukaryota; Viridiplantae; Streptophyta; Magnoliopsida; Solanales; Solanaceae
Exons: 2
Source: RefSeq, a predicted model, not a curated record